This 395-nucleotide unclassified non-coding RNA is filed under the name soil metagenome. Its description in RNAcentral is "partial contains 5.8S ribosomal RNA, internal transcribed spacer 2, and large subunit ribosomal RNA". The stretch from base 1 to 120 matches the Rfam family "5.8S ribosomal RNA", at positions 35 to 154 of the family's 154-position model. The record is from RNAcentral.
GAUGAAGAACGCAGCGAAAUGCGAUAAGUAAUGUGAAUUGCAGAAUUCAGUGAAUCAUCGAAUCUUUGAACGCACCUUGCGCUCCUUGGUAUUCCGAGGAGCAUGCCUGUUUGAGUGUCAGUAAAUUCUCAAUCCCCUCUAGCUUUUGCAGUUGGGACUUGGAUAGUGGAGGUAUUUGCAGGCCCCCCUCUCGCUGAGAGGUGUCAGCUCCUCUGAAAUGCAUUAGCGGAACUGUUUGCGAUCCACGACAUGUGUGAUAAUUAUCUCCAUUACAGUGGGUCGCUUUCUUAAUGUUCAGCUGCUAACUGUCUUCUCUGUGAGACAACUUCUGAACCUUUGACCUCAAAUCAGGUAGGACUACCCGCUGAACUUAAGCAUAUCAAUAAGGCGGAGGA